GUUUUGAGAAGCUAAUUAGCAUUGGUCUUGUAAACCAAAGAUAGGAUAUAGACACCCCAAAACU
This 64-nucleotide transfer RNA is filed under the name Rectidens sumatrensis. RNAcentral describes it as "tRNA-Thr". The record is from RNAcentral. Lineage: Eukaryota; Metazoa; Mollusca; Bivalvia; Unionida; Unionidae.